AUUUUUUACAAUGGGGGAAACCCUGCUCCAGCCAUCCCGCGUGUAUGAUGAAGGCCUUCGGGUUGUUAGGUACUUUUGGCAGAGAAGGAAAGGUACCUCCUAAUACGAGGUACUGCUGACGGUAUCUUCAGAAUAAGCACCGUCUAACUACGUGCCAGCAGCCGAGGUAAUACGUAGGGUGCAAGUGUUAAAAGGAAUUACUGGGCGUAAAGGGUGGGUAGGCGGUUCGGAAAGGAAGAGGUGAAAUCCCAGGGGUCAACCUUGGAACUGCAUUUUAAACCGCCGAGCUAGAGUAUGGUAGAGGGAGGUAGAAUUCCACGGGUAGGAGUGAAAUGCGUAGAUAUGGGGAGGAAUACCGAUGGCGAAGGCAGCCCCCUGGGAUAAUACUGACGCUCAGACACGAAAGCGUGGGGAGCAAAAAG
Molecule: ribosomal RNA, 422 nt
Filed under: uncultured bacterium
Lineage: Bacteria
Description: partial 16S ribosomal RNA
Rfam family: Bacterial small subunit ribosomal RNA
Source: RNAcentral